Molecule: transfer RNA, 72 nt
Filed under: Camelus bactrianus (Bactrian camel)
Lineage: Eukaryota; Metazoa; Chordata; Mammalia; Artiodactyla; Camelidae
Also listed under: 2 other names
Rfam family: tRNA
About the family: Transfer RNA (tRNA) molecules are approximately 80 nucleotides in length. Their secondary structure includes four short double-helical elements and three loops (D, anti-codon, and T loops). Further hydrogen bonds mediate the characteristic L-shaped molecular structure. tRNAs have two regions of fundamental functional importance: the anti-codon, which is responsible for specific mRNA codon recognition, and the 3' end, to which the tRNAs corresponding amino acid is attached (by aminoacyl-tRNA synthetases). tRNAs cope with the degeneracy of the genetic code in two manners: having more than one tRNA (with a specific anti-codon) for a particular amino acid; and 'wobble' base-pairing, i.e. permitting non-standard base-pairing at the 3rd anti-codon position.
Source: Rfam by way of RNAcentral
GUGGGUAGAACUCAGUGGUGGAGCACAUGCUUGGCAUGCAUGAGGUCCUGGGUUCAAUCCCCACCACCUCCA